This is a long non-coding RNA of Vigna angularis (adzuki bean), 758 nucleotides long. RefSeq lists it as uncharacterized. The record is from RefSeq and is a predicted model, not a curated record. The transcript is spliced from 2 exons. NCBI's taxonomy places the organism in Eukaryota, Viridiplantae, Streptophyta, Magnoliopsida, Fabales, Fabaceae.
AAGGUUAGACAGAGCGAGGUCCACUCAAGCUUUAACAUGAAUUAUGAAUUCAUGUUUAAGUUUGGUUGACUUAAAAUAAAACACGUACUUAGACUCCUACUUCGAUUGUGUCUUAAAAGUUGUGACAACAACAAAUCAAGCAUACAUACCCUUGGCUGUUUGGAAUGGAGCAUUAUGAUUCUUUUUAUCUGGUAUUGAAGGACACAGUACGAAUUCAUCCAGCAGAAGAAACAUUGAAAAAAGAAUAAAGACGAAAAGGAUUGGUUAGGCUUUGUAUUCGGAUUCUCCACUGUUGAAAAUACUGAGUAUGGAUACCAGUUUCAGUUGUACACUCCAACCUUUGUUGGAAAGUGAUAUGCAGAUUGGACCAAAGUUUUCAGUCAAAUGACGGCUAUUUUUCUUGAUGGUGAUAUGAGAUGGAAUCGAUGCCUUAGAGAAGGAAAGGAAUUAGUGAUGUAGUAUAUUCUGGAAUUCUCCAAUCCAAUGCAGAAUGCACGGCAUCAUUAAAAGAUAGAAAAGAUGCUUAAAAUAGUUGUAGGCCAUGAGUAGUUUCCUAAAAUGAUUAAAGGCCAUUACUAUUUUCAUAUUGCAAGUAUGCAAUCAUGGAAGUUUAUGCAUAGAAAUCGAAUCCUAAAGAAAGUUUGAGCGGAAAUAAUGAACAGGAUAAGUUUAUCCCCUCUGAUAUCAGACAUGUUCUGUCCAGAAAACCUGUAGUGACAAUGUAUGUGAUCAAGAAAAGCGUCUAAAAGGAUCUUUUU